This 234-nucleotide unclassified non-coding RNA is filed under the name Athalia rosae (coleseed sawfly). RNAcentral's name for it is "misc RNA ENSAEAG00005006495.1". Lineage: Eukaryota; Metazoa; Arthropoda; Insecta; Hymenoptera; Athaliidae. The record is from RNAcentral.
GGUUAAUUAAAUUUCUGAUUUGCUAAGGGAUAUGAUAAUUUUGCUGAGUGGUUAUUUUGGCGUUCAAGGGUUCAUUUAAAAUCCAAAAGACGUUUCGAUUAUGAUUACGAAUCAAAGCUUAGAACCUCUAAGAUGAGCUUUAUUUCCAAAGCUGUUGUAAGGCUGGGUAACCUAUCCAAUGCAACUAAGAAACCCUUUGUUGUAACUCAUCAAAUCCCCUCUUCAUUAUAAUCU